GACGAACGCUGGCGGCGUGCUUAACACAUGCAAGUCGUACGGUAAGGCCCUUUCGGGGGUACACGAGUGGCGAACGGGUGAGUAACACGUGAGUAACCUGCCCACAACUUUGGGAUAACGCUAGGAAACUGGUGCUAAUACUGGAUAUGUGCUCCUGCUGCAUGGUGGGGGUUGGAAAGCUCCGGCGGUUGUGGAUGGACUCGCGGCCUAUCAGCUUGUUGGUGGGGUAGUGGCCUACCAAGGCGGCGACGGGUAGCCGGCCUGAGAGGGUGACCGGCCACAUUGGAACUGAGAUACGGCCCAGACUCCUACGGGAGGCAGCAGUGGGGAAUAUUGCACAAGGGGCGCAAGCCUGAUGCAGCAACGCCGCGUGCGGGAUGACGGCCUUCGGGUUGUAAACCGCUUUCAGCAGGGACGAAGCUUUUUGUGACGGUACCUGCAGAAGAAGCACCGGCUAACUACGUG
This 465-nucleotide ribosomal RNA is filed under the name uncultured bacterium. RNAcentral's name for it is "partial 16S ribosomal RNA". It matches the Rfam family "Bacterial small subunit ribosomal RNA", at positions 28 to 507 of the family's 1533-position model. The record is from RNAcentral.